RNAcentral lists this transfer RNA (85 nucleotides) under Aquabacterium sp. Its description in RNAcentral is "tRNA-Ser". The record is from RNAcentral. Lineage: Bacteria; Pseudomonadati; Pseudomonadota; Betaproteobacteria; Burkholderiales; Sphaerotilaceae.
UUGUGUGUAAGUCAUUGAUUUGCUGGGACUCAUGUUCUGCUUUGGGAGCAGAGGGUCGUGAGUUCGAAUCCCACCGCCCCGACCA